This 155-nucleotide microRNA precursor is filed under the name Amborella trichopoda. Its description in RNAcentral is "MIR8565 microRNA precursor family". It matches the Rfam family "MIR8565 microRNA precursor family". Lineage: Eukaryota; Viridiplantae; Streptophyta; Magnoliopsida; Amborellales; Amborellaceae. The record is from Rfam by way of RNAcentral.
CCCACACCCAUGUGUGUAAGACCCUAAAAGAUCACCAUUAAAUUUGGCACAGAUCUCUAGAAAAAUUAUCGCAUGGGUGUGGAACUUGACUUUUCUAGAGAUCUGUACCAAAUUUAAUGGUGAUCCUUUUGGGGUCCUACACAUAUAGGUGUGGG